GACAUAGUGGCAUAGUGGUUUGAGUGUUGGACUAUGACUCUGGAGGACAGGGUUCGAUUCCCCGCUCGGCCA
This is a non-coding RNA of Phrynosoma platyrhinos (Desert horned lizard), 72 nucleotides long. The record is from the annotation of a GenBank genome assembly. NCBI's taxonomy places the organism in Eukaryota, Metazoa, Chordata, Lepidosauria, Squamata, Phrynosomatidae.